This 422-nucleotide ribosomal RNA is filed under the name uncultured eukaryote. RNAcentral describes it as "SSU rRNA". It matches the Rfam family "Eukaryotic small subunit ribosomal RNA", at positions 592 to 1018 of the family's 1831-position model. The record is from RNAcentral.
CAAUAGCGUAUAUUAAAGUUGUUGCGGUUAAAAAGCUCGUAGUUGGAUUUCUGCCGAGGACGACCGGUCCGCCCUCUGGGUGAGUAUCUGGCUCGGCUUGGGCAUCUUCUUGGAGAACGUAGCUGCACUUGACUGGGUGGCGCGGUAUCCAGGACCUUUACUUUGAGGAAAUUAGAGUGUUUUAAGCAGGCACACGCCUUGUAUACAUUAGCAUGGAAUAAUAAGAUAGGACCCCGGUUCUAUUUUGUUGGUUUCUAGAGCUGAGGUAAUGAUUAAUAGGGAUAGUUGGGGGCAUCCGUAUUUAACUGUCAGAGGUGAAAUUCUUGGAUUUGUUAAAGACGAACUACUGCGAAAGCAUUUGCCAGGGAUGUUUUCAUUGAUCAAGAACGAAAGUUAGGGGAUCGAAGACGAUCAGAUACCAU